GGAGCGGUGGCUGAGUGGUCGAAAGCGCCGGUUUGCUAAAUCGGUGAGCCGGGCAACCGGCUCCGCAGGUUCAAAUCCUGUCCGCUCCG
RNAcentral lists this transfer RNA (89 nucleotides) under bacterium. Its description in RNAcentral is "tRNA-Ser". It matches the Rfam family "tRNA". From Rfam's summary of the family: Transfer RNA (tRNA) molecules are approximately 80 nucleotides in length. Their secondary structure includes four short double-helical elements and three loops (D, anti-codon, and T loops). Further hydrogen bonds mediate the characteristic L-shaped molecular structure. tRNAs have two regions of fundamental functional importance: the anti-codon, which is responsible for specific mRNA codon recognition, and the 3' end, to which the tRNAs corresponding amino acid is attached (by aminoacyl-tRNA synthetases). tRNAs cope with the degeneracy of the genetic code in two manners: having more than one tRNA (with a specific anti-codon) for a particular amino acid; and 'wobble' base-pairing, i.e. permitting non-standard base-pairing at the 3rd anti-codon position. RNAcentral also lists the same sequence under 4 other names. The record is from RNAcentral.